UGAUACUAAGCCAUGCGAGUCAUUGCAGUAAUGCAAGGCGGACGGCUCAGUAACGCGUAGUCAACCUACCCUAUGGACGGGAAUAACCUCGGGAAACUGAGUAUAAUGCCCGAUAGAACACUAUUCCUGGAAUGGUUUGUGUUCCAAAUGAUUUAUCGCCGUAGGAUGGGACUGCGGCCUAUCAGUUUGUUGGUGAGGUAAUGGCCCACCAAGACUAUUACAGGUACGGGCUCUGAGAGGAGUAGCCCGGAGAUGGGUACUGAGACACGGACCCAGGCCCUAUGGGGCGCAGCAGGCGAGAAAACUUUGCAAUGUGCGAAAGCACGACAAGGUUAAUCCGAGUGGUUUGUGCUAAACGAACCUUUUGACAGUCCUAGAAACACUGUUGAAUAAGGGGUGGGCAAGUUCUGGUGUCAGCCGCCGCGGUAAAACCAGCACCUCAAGUGGUCAGGAUGAUUAUUGGGCCUAAAGCAUCCGUAGCCGGCUCUGUAAGUUUUCGGUUAAAUCUGUACGCUCAACGUACAGGCUGCCGGGAAUACUGCAGAGCUAGGGAGUGGGAGAGGUAGACGGUACUCGGUAGGAAGGGGUAAAAUCCUUUGAUCUAUUGAUGACCACCUGUGGCGAAGGCGGUCUACCAGAACACGUCCGACGGUGAGGGAUGAAAGCUGGGGGAGCAAACCGGAUUAGAUACCCGGGUAGUCCCAGCUGUAAACUAUGCAAACUCAGUGAUGCAUUGGCUUGUGGCCAAUGCAGUGCUGCAGGGAAGCCGUUAAGUUUGCCGCCUGGGAAGUACGUACGCAAGUAUGAAACUUAAAGGAAUUGGCGGGGGAGCACCACAAGGGGUGAAGCCUGCGGUUCAAUUGG
Molecule: ribosomal RNA, 864 nt
Filed under: uncultured archaeon
Lineage: Archaea
Description: bacterial SSU rRNA
Rfam family: Archaeal small subunit ribosomal RNA
Source: RNAcentral